GACGAACGCUGGCGGCGUGCUUAACACAUGCAAGUCGAGCGGAAAGGCCCUGCUUUUGUGGGGUGCUCGAGUGGCGAACGGGUGAGUAACACGUGAGUAACCUGCCCUUGACUUUGGGAUAACUUCAGGAAACUGGGGCUAAUACCGGAUAGGAGCUCCUGCUGCAUGGUGGGGGUUGGAAAGUUUCGGCGGUUGGGGAUGGACUCGCGGCUUAUCAGCUUGUUGGUGGGGUAGUGGCUUACCAAGGCUUUGUCGGGUAGCCGGCCUGAGAGGGUGACCGGCCACAUUGGGACUGAGAUACGGCCCAGACUCCUACGGGAGGCAGCAGUGGGGAAUAUUGCACAAUGGGCGGAAGCCUGAUGCAGCAACGCCGCGUGCGGGAUGACGGCCUUCGGGUUGUAAACCGCUUUCGCCUGUGACGAAGCGUGAGUGACGGUAAUGGGUAAAGAAGCACCGGCUAACUACGUG
This 468-nucleotide ribosomal RNA is filed under the name uncultured bacterium. Its description in RNAcentral is "partial 16S ribosomal RNA". It matches the Rfam family "Bacterial small subunit ribosomal RNA", at positions 28 to 507 of the family's 1533-position model. The record is from RNAcentral.